RNAcentral lists this ribosomal RNA (509 nucleotides) under uncultured bacterium. RNAcentral describes it as "partial 16S ribosomal RNA". It matches the Rfam family "Bacterial small subunit ribosomal RNA", at positions 29 to 507 of the family's 1533-position model. The record is from RNAcentral.
ACGAACGCUGGCGGCGUGCCUAACACAUGCAAGUCGAACGAAGAGCGACGGAAGCUUGCUUCUAUCAAUCUUAGUGGCGAACGGGUGAGUAACGCGUAAUCAACCUGCCCUUCAGAGGGGGACAACAGUUGGAAACGACUGCUAAUACCGCAUACGAUCUAACCUCGGCAUCGAGGAUAGAUGAAAGGUGGCCUCUACAUGUAAGCUAUCACUGAAGGAGGGGAUUGCGUCUGAUUAGCUAGUUGGAGGGGUAACGGCCCACCAAGGCGAUGAUCAGUAGCCGGUCUGAGAGGAUGAACGGCCACAGUGGGACUGAGACACGGCCCAGACUCCUACGGGAGGCAGCAGUGGGGAAUCUUCCGCAAUGGACGAAAGUCUGACGGAGCAACGCCGCGUGAGUGAUGACGGCCUUCGGGUUGUAAAGCUCUGUUAAUCGGGACGAAAGGCCUUCUUGCGAAUAGUGAGAAGGAUUGACGGUACCGGAAGAGAAAGCCACGGCUAACUACGUG